UGUGUGUGUGUGUGUGUGUGUGUCUGUGUCUGUGUGUGUGUGUGUGUGUGUGUACUACAUACACACACACACACACACACACACACACACAGACAGACACACACAG
This is a small nucleolar RNA of Osmerus eperlanus (European smelt), 106 nucleotides long. RefSeq annotates it as small nucleolar RNA SNORA23. The transcript has a single exon. NCBI's taxonomy places the organism in Eukaryota, Metazoa, Chordata, Actinopteri, Osmeriformes, Osmeridae. The record is from RefSeq and is a predicted model, not a curated record.